GACGAACGCUGGCGGCGUGCCUAAUACAUGCAAGUAGAACGCUGAAGGAGGAGCUUGCUUCUCCGGAUGAGUUGCGAACGGGUGAGUAACGCGUAGGUAACCUGCCUGGUAGCGGGGGAUAACUAUUGGAAACGAUAGCUAAUACCGCAUAAGAGUAGAUGUCGCAUGACAUUUGCUUAAAAGGUGCAACUGCACCACUACCAGAUGGACCUUCGUUGUAUUAGCUAGUUGGUGAGGUAACGGCUCACCAAGGCAACGAUACAUAGCCGACCUGAGAGGGUGAUCGGCCACACUGGGACUGAGACACGGCCCAGACUCCUACGGGAGGCAGCAGUAGGGAAUCUUCGGCAAUGGACGGAAGUCUGACCGAGCAACGCCGCGUGAGUGAAGAAGGUUGUCGGAUCGUAAAGCUCUGUUGUAAGAGAAGAACGAGUGUGAGAGUGGAAAGUUCACACUGUGACGGUAUCUUACCAGAAAGGGACGGCUAACUACGUG
Molecule: ribosomal RNA, 495 nt
Filed under: uncultured bacterium
Lineage: Bacteria
Description: partial 16S ribosomal RNA
Rfam family: Bacterial small subunit ribosomal RNA
Source: RNAcentral